This is a long non-coding RNA of Phyllopteryx taeniolatus (common seadragon), 4104 nucleotides long. RefSeq lists it as uncharacterized. The record is from RefSeq and is a predicted model, not a curated record. The transcript has 3 exons. NCBI's taxonomy places the organism in Eukaryota, Metazoa, Chordata, Actinopteri, Syngnathiformes, Syngnathidae.
AGUGUCCAUCCAUCCAUUUUCAACACCGCUUAUCCUGGUUAGGGUCGCGGGGCGGCGGAGCCUAUCCCAGCGGACUUCGGGCGAAAGGCGGACCACACCCUGAACCGGUUGCCAGUCAGUCGCAGCGCACAUAUAGACAUGGACAACCAUUCAUACUCACAUUCACACCGUCACUGAUUGGGAACUGAACCCACGCUGCCCGCACCAAAGUCAGGCGAGUGUACCACUACACCAUCAGUGACUCCCUGCCAUUGAGAGUGUGUUGACCAGCUGCAUCUUGGUUCUGUCUGCUGUGUGCAAAGCCAUGGUCUGGAAAGCUCUCCAGAGAGUGAGCACUGAUGAUCACCAGGGAUCCAACGCACUCAAACCGUGGACUGCUCAGCCUGCUACUCUCUGGCAAGAGGUUCUGCAGCAUCUGUUGAAGAACCACCAGCUUCUGUAAUAGUGUUUUCACCACACUCCAUCUGACUGUUAAACACACUCUUGAUUCAUCAUCACACACAAGUUUCAAUGGCUGACCCAAAUCAGAACUCUAGCUUCCGUCAGAGUAGAAACUCAGCUUGUGCAAUUGCUGACUCGUGCAAUUUGAUUUGGAUGUGACUAAAAUAUGUUUACUCUAGUUAUGCUUAGGUAUAUAUUUUGAACAUUACAUCUGUUCACAUUUUUCCCCUUGCACUUUAUACACUGACAUUUACGCGACUGUUUACAUUUACACGAGUUACUUUUCCCUCAUCGCUCUGUCUGCACUUUAUUUUAUUGGUGCUCAUUUAAUUUAUUUCAUUUAUUCGCAUGGAUUCAGCAGCGCUGAUAUAUUAAAAUUUCAUUGUGCACUGCUGUGUGUAAUUUAAAACAUGACAAUGAAGACGACUAUUUUGCUGUCAGGAUUCAGGUUACAAGUUGGACCCAGAUGCAGAGAGGACAGGGAGAUGAGUUUGUGAAUAAAGCUUUAUUGCAGCUUGGAAGCGAACAAAGGAACUCCGAGAACUAAAUCCGGCAUUGGCAGGGUUCGAACGAGGACCGGUCUGGCAGGGUAGGAGUCCGUGUUGUCGGUGGGCCGCGAGAGGUGAACACUGGUUUUCAGGGAGCAAGGACAGAUGGCAGACUGGGGAUCAAGAACAAGAAUUAGGUAGAGGUAACCAUCUAGGUCUUCAGGAAGCAAAAAGAUAGGCAAGGUGGCUAGGCUACGAACUCAAAGUAGAGCGUUGAUAGUCUGGCGACGAGUUGGAGUCCCACAGCGUCUUAAGAGCAGUCAGGUGUAAUUAGGAUGACAAGGUGCAGCUGCUAGACUCCAACACGUUAACCCUGCAAAGCACUCAUGACACACACACACAAACACACACACACACGGGCUGGACUCAGGGUGCUGAAACAGCAGCCCUGAAAUUAUCGAUCUACACAAGCACACUACACUAUACUACAAAUGCACUACACAAUACACAUGUUUAAAUAAACACACACUACACCACACACACAAACAGUGUGGUAACGAUAAAGAACUUCUGCCUCAGUGAGCCGGGAGGAGGAAACGUGUGUGAAACAUGUUUAUUCUGUAAUGUAGGAAUAAAUUUGGGACAUUGUGUCAUUGUGUUAAUUUGUGAAAUGUGUGUUUUUUUCCCCCAGUGGUUACUCUUGUUACGUCAUGCUGAAAACGUAACACCUUUUCUCUUCUCUGAUGUCCGGACCUUUAUAUCACCCCCUUAUUGUGUGUGAGCAUUUGUGUAUGUGUGUUUGUGUUUAGGCGGCACGGUGGACGACUGGUUAGAGCGUCUGCCCCACAGUUCUGAGAACCUGGGUUCAAUCGCGACCCUAGUGAGGAGAAGCGGCUCAGAAAAUGGAUGGACGGAUGGAUGUUUGUGUUUACUAUGCAUGUUUGUGUUGACUGUUCACCUCUGAGCUGGAGAGAUGUUGCUGAGUCCCACUAAUGGCUUCUAUUGACAAUUCAGAGGCAACUAGGCCUUGUCUGUACCCACAGGCCUUGUGCCUGAAGAAAGCAAAAACUGUCAAGUAAAUUAUUAAUUCUUUAAAGUCUGUCAAUAAUUAAUGUCAGAUUAAAUUGUAUGUUUUCUUAUCUAAAUGCAUUCUGACUAAAAGCAGUUCAUUCUUUACCAUUUCUUACAUUUUUAAUUUGUUGCAAACAAAGUAGAGACAAGCCCAAAUAUUCUUUUCUGUUCUGUUUUCCCUUUCUGCAUAGCUGAUAGAAACACUCCAUCUCUUUUCUGUCAUACAUUAUUAUUUUAGGGGCUCAAGGUAUACAAACAAAUGAGAAAAGCAUGUAUUUGUGUAAUGAUUUCUUGUCUUGUAAUGUCAGUGAUGUACACACAUAAGCUUUUACUUGACUUGCAUUUGAAAACCUCCCCGGAAAAAGAGUUUGUGCUGAAUAAGUGAACUACAAACGCAGAAUAAUAUUUAAAAAGAUGUGAGGAGGGGCGCCCAUGCAUGAAUAACUGCCAGUCUUCCAUUUCAUAUCCCAAAGUAGAUUCAUUUGGACAUUUUCCACUGCUUAAGUGUGUUUACAGUAGUCUGUGGUAACUCUGCCUGCUGAGGUAAUGCAUGUUUGAUCAAUUAUACUUUUUGCACAACGAAGGUUAGUAAUGCAGCGUCACAAAAGACAAAGAAAGAAAAUAUACAUGCUGCCUCAGUAUUGUUACGUUACACAACAAAUGACAUAAGAUACAAAUGCCACACAGAAAGGCCUCACCUGAGACCCCCAUUCCCCCAUUUAUGAGAAAAGCUGGCAUCUAUUUAAAAGCAUACAAAAAAUAUUAUUAUUAUUAUUAAAUAAACCUGUACUUUUAAUAAGGGCCUUAAAGCAUAUGGAAUAUUGUGAUAUCUCGACAGAUGAUGUCGGGUCACAAUUAUAAAAGUAGUCUUCUCUAUUGAAGAACAUAUAUAAUUUUGCAUAGUUAUGAGUCAUUGUUUAAAAUAUAAAAUCAAUAACAUAGUUUCCCUGUAAUGAAUCCAUUGACUUGGAUGGAAGCCAAGACUCUCUUGAACAAGUUGCUACCACACUGUUGGAAAAAAAGGAUGUUUGGGUGACAGGUAAUUCAUUUUGUUUCUAAAAGUUUACAAUGUCGCCUAAGAACUCCAUCCAUCCAUCCAUUUUCCGAGCCGCUUAUCCUCACUAGGGUCGCGGGCGUGCCGGAGCCUAUCCCAGCUAUCUUCGGGCAGGAGGCGGGGUACACCCUGAACUGGUUGCCAGCCAAUCGCAGGGCACACAUAAACAAACAACUAUUCGCACUCACAUUCACACCUAGGGGCAAUUUAGAGACUUCAAUGAACCUACCAUGCAUGUUUUUGGGAUGUAGGAGGAAACCGGAGUGCCCGGAGAAAACCCAUACAGGCACGGGGAGAACAUGCAAAUUCCACACAGGCGGGGCCGGGGAUUGAACCCCAGUCCUCAGAACUGUGAGGCAGACGCUCUAACCAGUCGACCAACAUGCCGCCGCCUAAGAACUCGUGUUUUUUUUUUUUUUAAAUUUGAACAAGACUGACACAUCAAGUUUUUUGAUGCGCUAACUCAUACAAAGCUUCUUGCUUUGCAAUGCAUUAGAUUGUUUUCUUAUAAGCGUUAUUACUCCAUUGGAGAUGUUCAACCUAAAAACAGAAAAUAAUAAUGUGUAAUGUCCAUGAAAACAGAUUACCCUAACCCAUUCCAAUCAUAUUGUGCUGCUCAGACAGCUUUAAUGGUGACACUUUCAAUUGCAUUAACUCAUUAGUGAAUUAGAAAAAGGAGUGUGAUAGCAGAGUGACUUAGGCAGACGUUUACCCUCUUGAACCAAUGAGGCUAACUCAAUGUCAAACUGAACAGCCGUUUCCCUCCUUCUUUGCUGGAGGCAACAAUCCAUUUGUCUUCAUCACUCACAAAGGUAAUCUGCUUUGGUAUUAACUUCAGUUCACAUCUAAAGUGUUGAUUGAGCAUGAGGAUGAACCUGGACCUGAUUCAUGGAUGAUGUUAUACAGGAGAGCACUCCUGACCUUCUGUGAGGCCAGAUCAAUACUGUUUCGUAGUCAAGCCUAUCAAUUGUGGGUCAUAUUCCUGCUGUGACCUAUGCCCUGUCAGCAACAACAAGCUCACACUUCCUAGCGUGUAGCGGCCAUGAGGUU